Molecule: ribosomal RNA, 113 nt
Filed under: Pogona vitticeps (central bearded dragon)
Lineage: Eukaryota; Metazoa; Chordata; Lepidosauria; Squamata; Agamidae
Source: RNAcentral
AUCAUAGCCCAUAUCACCAUGAUGACACCUCAUCUCAUCUGAUUUUGGAAGCUAAAGAAAGGUCAGGCAUGGUUAAUACUUGGAUGAUGGGCCACCAGAGAGCACCACAGAUC